RNAcentral lists this ribosomal RNA (401 nucleotides) under Bacillus siamensis. RNAcentral's name for it is "bacterial SSU rRNA". It matches the Rfam family "Bacterial small subunit ribosomal RNA", at positions 377 to 769 of the family's 1533-position model. Lineage: Bacteria; Bacillati; Bacillota; Bacilli; Caryophanales; Bacillaceae. The record is from RNAcentral.
GAAAGUCUGACGGAGCAACGCCGCGUGAGUGAUGAAGGUUUUCGGAUCGUAAAGCUCUGUUGUUAGGGAAGAACAAGUGCCGUUCAAAUAGGGCGGCACCUUGACGGUACCUAACCAGAAAGCCACGGCUAACUACGUGCCAGCAGCCGCGGUAAUACGUAGGUGGCAAGCGUUGUCCGGAAUUAUUGGGCGUAAAGGGCUCGCAGGCGGUUUCUUAAGUCUGAUGUGAAAGCCCCCGGCUCAACCGGGGAGGGUCAUUGGAAACUGGGGAACUUGAGUGCAGAAGAGGAGAGUGGAAUUCCACGUGUAGCGGUGAAAUGCGUAGAGAUGUGGAGGAACACCAGUGGCGAAGGCGACUCUCUGGUCUGUAACUGACGCUGAGGAGCGAAAGCGUGGGGAGC